RNAcentral lists this unclassified non-coding RNA (342 nucleotides) under soil metagenome. Its description in RNAcentral is "partial contains 5.8S ribosomal RNA, internal transcribed spacer 2, and large subunit ribosomal RNA". The stretch from base 1 to 120 matches the Rfam family "5.8S ribosomal RNA", at positions 35 to 154 of the family's 154-position model. The record is from RNAcentral.
GAUGAAGAACGUAGCGAAAUGCGAUAAGUAAUGUGAAUUGCAGAAUUCAGUGAAUCAUCGAAUCUUUGAACGCACAUUGCGCCCCCUGGUAUUCCGGGGGGCAUGCCUGUCCGAGCGUCAUUACUGCCCUCAAGCGCGGCUUGUGUGUUGGGCCCUCGUCCCCCCGGGGACGUGCCCGAAAGGCAGUGGCGGCGCCGUGCCCGGACCUCGAGCGUAUGGGGCUUUGUCACCCGCUCUGGAGGCCCGGCCGGCGGCCGUCGGACCAACCCAACCUUUUUAACCGGUUGACCUCGGAUCAGGCAGGGAUACCCGCUGAACUUAAGCAUAUCAAUAAGCGGAGGA